UGGUGCAUGGCUGUCGUCAGCUCGUGCCGUAAGGUGUUGGGUUAAGUCUCGCAACGAGCGCAACCCUCGUGUUUAGUUGCCACUAUGAGUUUGGAACCCUGAACAGACCGCCGGUGUUAAGCCGGAGGAAGGAGAGGAUGAGGCCAAGUCAUCAUGCC
This 158-nucleotide ribosomal RNA is filed under the name Triticum aestivum (bread wheat). RNAcentral describes it as "rRNA SSU_rRNA_eukarya". It matches the Rfam family "Bacterial small subunit ribosomal RNA", at positions 1039 to 1199 of the family's 1533-position model. The record is from RNAcentral. Lineage: Eukaryota; Viridiplantae; Streptophyta; Magnoliopsida; Poales; Poaceae.